This 231-nucleotide ribosomal RNA is filed under the name Salmonella enterica. Its description in RNAcentral is "partial 23S ribosomal RNA". It matches the Rfam family "Bacterial large subunit ribosomal RNA", at positions 1 to 232 of the family's 2925-position model. The record is from RNAcentral. Lineage: Bacteria; Pseudomonadati; Pseudomonadota; Gammaproteobacteria; Enterobacterales; Enterobacteriaceae.
GGUUAAGCGACUAAGCGUACACGGUGGAUGCCCUGGCAGUCAGAGGCGAUGAAGGGCGUGCUAAUCUGCGAUAAGCGCCGGUAAGGUGAUAUGAACCGUUAUAACCGGCGAUACCCGAAUGGGGAAACCCAGUGUGACUCGUCACACUAUCAUUAACUGAAUCCAUAGGUUAAUGAGGCGAACCGGGGGAACUGAAACAUCUAAGUACCCCGAGGAAAAGAAAUCAAAUCA